RNAcentral lists this ribosomal RNA (493 nucleotides) under Gerbilliscus validus (Southern savanna gerbil). RNAcentral describes it as "partial 16S ribosomal RNA". It matches the Rfam family "Bacterial large subunit ribosomal RNA", at positions 1854 to 2579 of the family's 2925-position model. Lineage: Eukaryota; Metazoa; Chordata; Mammalia; Rodentia; Muridae. The record is from RNAcentral.
ACUGCCUGCCCAGUGACCAAGGUUAAACGGCCGCGGUAUUCUGACCGGCAAAGGUAGCAUAAUCACUUGUUCCUUAAUUAGGGACUAGAAUGAACGGCAAAACGAGGGUUUAACUGUCUCUUAUUUCUUAUCAGUGAAAUUGACCUUCCCGUGAAGAGGCGGGAAUACCAAAAUAAGACGAGAAGACCCUAUGGAGCUUUAAUUUAUAAUUUAUUUCUCACAAUAAUAAUCUAAUGAAUAACAAUUGAUUUUAAAUUAAUAAUUUGGUUGGGGUGACCUCGGAGAAUAAAACAACCUCCGAAAGAUUAUAAUUUAGACUAACAAGUCAAGAUAUAAAUAUUAUCAAAUUGACCCAAUUACUUGACCAACGACCAAGUUACCCUAGGGAUAACAGCGCUAUCUUAUUUAAGAGUUCAUAUCGAAAAUAGGGUUUACGACCUCGAUGUUGGAUCAGGAUAUCCCAAUGGUGCAGCAGCUAUUAAUGGUUCGUUUG